Molecule: ribosomal RNA, 492 nt
Filed under: uncultured bacterium
Lineage: Bacteria
Description: partial 16S ribosomal RNA
Rfam family: Bacterial small subunit ribosomal RNA
Source: RNAcentral
AGUGAACGCUGGCGGUAGGCCUAACACAUGCAAGUCGAACGGCAGCACAGUAAGAGCUUGCUCUUACGGGUGGCGAGUGGCGGACGGGUGAGGAAUACAUCGGAAUCUACUUUUUCGUGGGGGAUAACGUAGGGAAACUUACGCUAAUACCGCAUACGACCUACGGGUGAAAGCAGGGGAUCUUCGGACCUUGCGCGAUUGAAUGAGCCGAUGUCGGAUUAGCUGGUUGGCGGGGUAAAGGCCCACCAAGGCGACGAUCCGUAGCUGGUCUGAGAGGAUGAUCAGCCACACUGGAACUGAGACACGGUCCAGACUCCUACGGGAGGCAGCAGUGGGGAAUAUUGGACAAUGGGCGCGAGCCUGAUCCAGCCAUACCGCGUGGGUGAAGAAGGCCUUCGGGUUGUAAAGCCCUUUUGUUGGGAAAGAAAAGCAGCAGGUUAAUACCCCGCUGUUCUGACGGUACCCAAAGAAUAAGCACCGGCUAACUUCGUG